CCUACGGGAGGCAGCAGUGAGGAAUCUUGCGCAAUGGGGGCAACCCUGACGCAGCAACGCCGCGUGAGUGAUGAAGGCCUUCGGGUCGUAAAGCUCUGUCAGAUGGGAAGAAGGUUCCGUUUCUGAAUAAGAAACGGAAUUGACGGUACCGUCGAAGGAAGCACCGGCUAACUCCGUGCCAGCAGCCGCGGUAAUACGGAGGGUGCAAGCGUUGUUCGGAUUUAUUGGGCGUAAAGAGCGUGUAGGCGGCCGGGUAGGUCAGAUGUGAAAUCCCUUGGCUUAACCAAGGAAGGGCAUUUGAAACUGUCUGGCUUGAGUACGGGAGGGGGAAGUGGAAUUCCCGGUGUAGAGGUGAAAUUCGUAGAUAUCGGAAGGAACACCGAUGGCGAAGGCAGCCCCCGGGGUUGGCACUGACGCUCAUGCACGAAAGCGUGGGGAGCAAACAGGAUUAGAUACCCUUGUAGU
RNAcentral lists this ribosomal RNA (465 nucleotides) under uncultured delta proteobacterium. RNAcentral's name for it is "partial 16S ribosomal RNA". It matches the Rfam family "Bacterial small subunit ribosomal RNA", at positions 338 to 794 of the family's 1533-position model. Lineage: Bacteria; Deltaproteobacteria. The record is from RNAcentral.